UACGUAGGGUGCAAGCGUUGUCCGGAAUUAUUGGGCGUAAAGAGCUCGUAGGCGGUCUGUCGCGUCGGGUGUGAAAUCCCCAGGCUUAACCUGGGAACUGCAUUCGAGACUGCAUUGCUAGAGUAUGGGAGAGGGAAGUGGAAUUUCCGGUGUAGCGGUGAAAUGCGUAGAUAUCGGAAGGAACAUCAGUGGCGAAAGCGACUUCCUGGACCAAUACUGACGCUCAUGUGCGAAAGCGUGGGGAGCAAACAGG
This 253-nucleotide ribosomal RNA is filed under the name uncultured bacterium. RNAcentral's name for it is "partial 16S ribosomal RNA". It matches the Rfam family "Bacterial small subunit ribosomal RNA", at positions 524 to 776 of the family's 1533-position model. The record is from RNAcentral.